Molecule: transfer-messenger RNA, 340 nt
Filed under: Weissella confusa
Lineage: Bacteria; Bacillati; Bacillota; Bacilli; Lactobacillales; Lactobacillaceae
Description: partial transfer-messenger RNA
Rfam family: transfer-messenger RNA
About the family: Bacterial tmRNA, also known as 10Sa RNA or SsrA, is named for its dual tRNA and mRNA-like properties. Its role is to liberate the mRNA from a stalled ribosome.
Source: RNAcentral
UGGCUUUGACAGCGUGUAGAAGUGGUAAGUAAGCAUGCAGAGCGAUGAUGGCUAUGCUCUAUAAUCUCAGACAUCAAAAAUUUAAUUGGCGAAAAUAACUACGCUCUUGCUGCUUAAUCGAAGUACAGUAGAUUAGCUUAAUCUCCGCAACAGUUGCAGAGACAAGACAUCACCCGAUUGCCUUUUCCUGAGACGUUUCGAUAAGGUGGUGCUAGAAAUUCAGGAAUAGAAAAAUUCAAGCCUUGGGGAUUUUUCAAAUUUUAAAGGAUAAGUUUCAGAUUGGUUGUCUUUUGCCUGUCUGAUUCCGAAAACCAAGAAAUGACUAAGCAUGUAGAAAGCU